This 766-nucleotide long non-coding RNA is filed under the name Apteryx owenii (little spotted kiwi). RNAcentral describes it as "lncRNA (ENSAOWG00000013081.1)". The record is from RNAcentral. Lineage: Eukaryota; Metazoa; Chordata; Aves; Apterygiformes; Apterygidae.
GAGCAUCCCCAGGACCCCAAGUGUCCCCAGGGCCUGGCCAAGCGUCCCCAGGAUCCCGCCGAGCAUCCCCAGGACCCCAAGUGUCCCCAGGGCCUGGCCAAGCGUCCCCAGGAUCCCACCGAGCAUCUCCAGGAUCCCACCAAGUGUCCCCAAGGCCCAGCUGAGUGGACCAGGACCCUGUCAAGUGUCCUCUAGACCUCACCAAGUGUCCCCAGGGCCCCACCAAAUAUCCCCAAGGCCCAGCCCAAGCGUCCCCAGCUCAGCAACCCCCCCCCGCAAGCCCUGGGCUAAACGUCCCCAGCACCGCGUCAAGCGUCCCCAGCACCCGGCCGAGCAUCUCCAGGUCCAACGCGAGCGUCCCCAGCCCAUCGUCCCCCUCCCAGGACACGGCCUGGGUGUCCCCAGGACCCAGUCAAGUGUCCCCAACACCUGGGUAAGCAUCCCCAAGACCUGGCCCAACGGUCCCCAACAGAAAGCCCCCUCCAGGGCUGUCCUCAGAGCCAGGUCAAGUGUCCCCAGAGCCCAGUUGAGUGUCCCCAAGGCCGGGCCAAGCGUCCCCAAGGCCCACGGGCGGCCGACCUGCGUCGCUGUCGCUGUCGGAGUCGCUGAGGGGCUUGAGGGGCGAGUGGAGGUCCUGGAAGUAGCGGUGGCCGCCCUCGCACUGCCACACGGCCGUGGUGUAGAGGCCGAAGGUGGGGUCCAGCUCGGCCAGGUGCGGCUCGUAGGGACACCGGUUCUUGUGGUCCUCGUACCAGAUCACCAUGUU